Rhineura floridana is the source of this 340-nucleotide long non-coding RNA. RefSeq lists it as uncharacterized. The transcript has 3 exons. Lineage: Eukaryota; Metazoa; Chordata; Lepidosauria; Squamata; Rhineuridae. The record is from RefSeq and is a predicted model, not a curated record.
CAGAGGUCCCGCUGCGCUAGCUGCGCGAAGCCUGGGCGAGCGGAGCGCAAUUGCAGCUGAGGAGGUCAGUGUCUAUGCAAACAGACUAGACUCUACAUAAAAGAAUGAAUGGACACAAAUCUGACAUCAGCAAUGGCAAUAUUGAAAAAGCAGUAGGAGAUCUUUUCAACAUCAUAGGACACUCUGUAACUGAUCUUAAGGUCUCAGGUGACUUCCGGACCCAGUGAAAGUCUUGUUAUGUGGGCAUUCCAUCCUCUUCUGGGCCUGCAGGAGGGCAUCAUCCUUGGAUUUUGAAACUCAGCUCUGCCUUUCUGCCAGAGCUAAUUUGCAUUGGAUAGUU